RNAcentral lists this unclassified non-coding RNA (536 nucleotides) under Hevea brasiliensis (rubber tree). The record is from RNAcentral. Lineage: Eukaryota; Viridiplantae; Streptophyta; Magnoliopsida; Malpighiales; Euphorbiaceae.
AAAAGAAACACAAUGUUUAAAUGCCAGUUAAAUUGAGUAUUGGGGGAACAAAAAACCUACAUAUUAUGUUAGUGUACACAUCAUGUUCUAUCCUGCAUUACAGCUCCGAAUAGUUUCGCCUGCUCUACAUUUCCUAAUAAACACAAGUUUUGCUCUGCCAUUAAAUUAAACACUAACAGUAAAUUACAUAGCUGGAUUUGCUGACAAACUAAGCAUUACAUGUGCGCACAACUUAGUGGAAACUACUGAGAUAAGAUAAGCAUACAUAGCUACAUUAUUUUCUGGCAGUCAUGAACUGAAGAUACAAGUUUUCAGGCUUCAACCACUUGGCCAGCAGAUUGAUUUUCAUCUUUCUCAGCAUCACCGUCUCCAUCUUCAUCAUCAGCCUCGUCAGCUAGUUUAGUAAGCUCUUCUUGAAUCAUAAGUUUUAUAGAUGACUUCAUUUGGGUGAGAUCAGUAUCAAAUUGCUGAGCAAGUUGCUUCAGAAUGUCUGUGAAUGUAGCCGUAUUAAAAUCCACCUCCUUAAGAAUUUCACA